CGUUGAGUAGUCAACAUGGUUCCACGCGUACAUGAUGUCUCUGUCAAACGAUGCGAAUGCUCGGUGUGAAAUGAAUAUUUAUUGACGUGAAUAUCGCCGAUUACGACAAUCUGACACCAAGUCUGAAAUGUUUUGCUGUGUUUAUGAAUUAUAAAUCUUAUAAAUUGUGAUGUCUGGUAUCAAGGAUUAAGGAUAAUAGAAACUUGGCAAAUGAAGAAAUAAAGUUCUAAUAAAUAUGAAUGGAGAAAUUUAUUGAGCUGAUAAAUCAUCAGGUAUCAAGAGAAAAAGAAAUUUUUCAUGGAAAAUUUCUAGAAACUCCGUGAAGCAAUGGCAUUGUUUUAAAGAUUUUUCGAUAAUUCAAUCGAUUUCUAAUUAUACGAUUGGAUUCAUUGGAUUCAACUGUAAAUGUCUUCAAGUUUAUGGGGUCAUGUUGAAAGGAGAACUCGAUGGAAUUCAUUGGCUUUUAUUGGAAUAUGGCAAAGGCCAAAAUGAAGAUCUUUCAAUCGGUUGUAGAAAUUUCUAGUUAGUCAUAUUUAAUAGAGUUACAUGGUACAAUGCAAUAUGCAUACGUAAUAUAUGUAUGUACAUGUAUCCUGUUAAAAAGUAAACUCAUUUAAACGCUCUUUGAUACAGUCAGUUUGUUACAAUUAAUUCUUUCUCGUAUCACUCUAUAAUUUAAUACUUAAAAUAUAUUUAUGUUUA
This is a long non-coding RNA of Apis dorsata (giant honeybee), 702 nucleotides long. RefSeq lists it as uncharacterized. The transcript is spliced from 4 exons. The record is from RefSeq and is a predicted model, not a curated record. NCBI's taxonomy places the organism in Eukaryota, Metazoa, Arthropoda, Insecta, Hymenoptera, Apidae.